GCCCCACGAGUCUUUUUAUUAGCAUAUUCGGACAUGAUUGUAGCAGAAAGUGGGUAGUCACCACCGAUUCCAAAACCAAGCCAGAAGCGGAAGAAACAGAGCGUGGACAUGACAGCAGUACGACUUUUGCCAAAAGAGAGGCCUGAGGCAAUCGAACAAAUGACCAUAAGCAUCAAUGUCAUCCCAUAGAUACGUUUUCUGCCCAUUUUAUCACCAAGCCUGCCCUUUUUACCCCAAAGCCAGCCAAAGAAGAGCUGGCCUGCAAGAGUGCCGGAGAACGCAACACCAUUAACAGCAGCUGAGACAUUUGAUGGUAAAGAUCCAGGAGUAGUAGAAUCUUCCUUGUAGUAGUAGAUUCUGCCUAGCAAUUUGGUCACAAGGGAGAUACAAAAAAGAUCAUAGGCAUCAGUGAAAAAACCCAUGCCACCAAUCACUAUUGCUGUGAAAUGGUACCAUUGCGUUUUGGCCGCAUCAAGUGCAUUAAGCACAUGCAGGUGUUCCCUUGCCAUGAUUUCUCCUUCUGAUCGCACAGAGCAACAAUAACAGCAAAACAG
This 554-nucleotide unclassified non-coding RNA is filed under the name Hevea brasiliensis (rubber tree). Lineage: Eukaryota; Viridiplantae; Streptophyta; Magnoliopsida; Malpighiales; Euphorbiaceae. The record is from RNAcentral.